GUCUCUUUUAUUCCCAAUCCACAAACAUAGUACAGCCCACAAGGCGUUACAAAACAACCAAUCAAUCCGUACAAUACACCCAGACACUCCCACACAAAAUCCUCCCCUCUGCAGGUGAUAUGAUUACUGAACACAAUGGGUAAUCUCAUUAUCACCGGCAGAGGAAUACAGUUUUUACACAAUAUUUAUAACUUCGAAAAUAUACAUGUCACAAACAUAAAACAUAAAUUUUCAUAAUCAAUCCAUUCAGGGGAACAACAUAUUAAAA
Molecule: long non-coding RNA, 268 nt
Filed under: Pelobates cultripes (western spadefoot toad)
Lineage: Eukaryota; Metazoa; Chordata; Amphibia; Anura; Pelobatidae
Source: RNAcentral